This 502-nucleotide ribosomal RNA is filed under the name uncultured bacterium. RNAcentral's name for it is "partial 16S ribosomal RNA". It matches the Rfam family "Bacterial small subunit ribosomal RNA", at positions 899 to 1397 of the family's 1533-position model. The record is from RNAcentral.
ACUCAAAUGAAUUGACGGGGGCCCGCACAAGCGGUGGAGCAUGUGGUUUAAUUCGACGCAACGCGAAGAACCUUACCUGGGCUCGAACGGCUUUUGAAUGGCUUUGGAAACAGGGCAGUUCCCGCAAGGGACAGAAGUCGAGGUGCUGCAUGGCUGUCGUCAGCUCGUGUCGUGAGAUGUUGGGUUAAGUCCCGCAACGAGCGCAACCCUUGUCCUGUGUUGCUAACCCUGAAAGGGGUGCACUCUCAGGAGACCGCCAGGGAUAACCUGGAGGAAGGUGGGGAUGACGUCAAGUCAUCAUGGCCUUUAUGUCCAGGGCUACACACGUGCUACAAUGGACGGUACAAACCGCUGCCAACCCGCGAGGGGGAGCAAAUCGGAGAAAACCGUUCUCAGUUCGGAUCGCAGGCUGCAACUCGCCUGCGUGAAGCUGGAAUCGCUAGUAAUGCCGUAUCAGAACGACGGCGUGAAUACGUUCCCGGGCCUUGUACACACCGCCCGU